GAGUUUGAUCAUGGCUCAGAACGAACGCUGGCGGCAUGCCUAACACAUGCAAGUCGAACGAAGGCUUCGGCCUUAGUGGCGCACGGGUGAGUAUCGCGUGGGAACCUGCCCUUUGGUACGGAAUAACUGCGGGAAACUGCAGCUAAUACCGUAUACGUCCUCCGGGAGAAAGAUUUAUCGCCGAAGGAGGGGCCCGCGUCCGAUUAGGUAGUUGGUGGGGUAACGGCCUACCAAGCCUGUGAUCGGUAGCUGGUCUGAGAGGAUGAUCAGCCACACUGGGACUGAGACACGGCCCAGACUCCUACGGGAGGCAGCAGUGGGGAAUAUUGGACAAUGGGCGAAAGCCUGAUCCAGCAAUGCCGCGUGAGUGAUGAAGGCCUUAGGGUUGUAAAGCUCUUUUACCCGGGAUGAUAAUGACAGUACCGGGAGAAUAAGCCCCGGCUAACUCCGUGCCAGCCGCCGCAGU
Molecule: ribosomal RNA, 466 nt
Filed under: uncultured Alphaproteobacteria bacterium
Lineage: Bacteria; Pseudomonadati; Pseudomonadota; Alphaproteobacteria
Description: bacterial SSU rRNA
Rfam family: Bacterial small subunit ribosomal RNA
Source: RNAcentral